UACGUAGGGGCCUAGCGUUGUCCGGAAUUAUUGGGCGUAAAGAGCUCGUAGGCGGCUUGUCGCGUCGUUCGUGAAAACCCGGGGCUCAACUCCGGGCUUGCGGGCGAUACGGGCAGGCUAGAGUUCGGUAGGGGAGACUGGAAUUCCUGGUGUAGCGGUGAAAUGCGCAGAUAUCAGGAGGAACACCGGUGGCGAAGGCGGGUCUCUGGGCCGAUACUGACGCUGAGGCGCGAAAGCUAGGGGAGCGAACAGG
This 253-nucleotide ribosomal RNA is filed under the name uncultured bacterium. RNAcentral's name for it is "partial 16S ribosomal RNA". It matches the Rfam family "Bacterial small subunit ribosomal RNA", at positions 524 to 776 of the family's 1533-position model. The record is from RNAcentral.